This 147-nucleotide small nucleolar RNA is filed under the name Catagonus wagneri (Chacoan peccary). RNAcentral's name for it is "Small nucleolar RNA SNORA48 (ENSCWAG00000004143.1)". It matches the Rfam family "Small nucleolar RNA SNORA48". From Rfam's summary of the family: The snoRNA ACA 48 has been identified to guide pseudouridylation of the residue U3797 in the 28S rRNA subunit. Its host gene EIF4A1 (eukaryotic translation initiation factor 4A1) is shared with U67 and snoRNA mgU6-77 The record is from Rfam by way of RNAcentral. Lineage: Eukaryota; Metazoa; Chordata; Mammalia; Artiodactyla; Tayassuidae.
CCCCCCUGGCAAUGGGCAAAGAGACACCUGAUUGGUGGUGGUGUUCUUAUAUCAGCCAUGGGAAAAGUAGAUGUGUGUAGUCCUUUGUUCAUCCUAGCUUGAUGCCUGGGUUGGUGGCCAGAGCUGUUCCAUGCCUAGGACACAUGA